GACGAACGCUGGCGGCGUGCUUAACACAUGCAAGUCGAACGAAGUGGCGAACGGGUGAGUAAUGCGUAAUCAACCUGCCCUUCAGAGGGGGACAACAGUUGGAAACGACUGCUAAUACCGCAUACUGAAGGAGGGGAGUGCGUCUGAUUAGCUAGUUGGAGGGGGAACGGCCCACCAAGGCGAUGAUCAGUAGGCGGUCUGGGAGGGUGAACGGCCACCAUGGGACUGGGGCACCGCCCAGACUCCUACGGGAGGCAGCAAGGGGGAAACUUCCGCAAUGGACGGAAGUCUGACGGAGCAACGCCGCGUGGGUGAUGACGGCCUUCGGGUUGUAAAGCUCUGUUAAUCGGGACGCGGUACCGGAAUAGAAAGCCACGGCUAACUACGUGCCAGCAGCCGCGGUAAUUC
RNAcentral lists this ribosomal RNA (408 nucleotides) under uncultured bacterium. Its description in RNAcentral is "partial 16S ribosomal RNA". It matches the Rfam family "Bacterial small subunit ribosomal RNA", at positions 28 to 526 of the family's 1533-position model. The record is from RNAcentral.